GGCAGCUGUCUACUCUCUUGUCACGGGUUCGUUGGGGUUUGUAAUCAUGAUAAGGAAUAUCAUUUAAACUUCAACAGUCAGAGUUUUUGAUUUAAUUUUACACAGGUUAAAUGUAAAUUUAAUAUUAAGUUCACUGUAGUGCUUAUUUAAGAAGCUUACUGUGAUACACUCCCAGCUUUCAGGAGAAAAAAUAACAGAAAGGUAACAGAAUCUGAAAAGACUUUGUUCCAAAAUUGCCUCUAAAGAAAAAUGUUAAUUCUAGAAGUAUUUGACAGUUGGAAGUAGCCUGCCACUGGAAACUAGUACUAGGAUGGAGAAAUAUUCUGUAAAUUAGUUCAGUUGACAGUAAUCAAAGAAUUGUGUCUCCUAGUAAAGUUUUUAGUUGAUGUGCAGAUGAGACAGUGACAGACCCCUUCUAACUAGAGCAGUCCUUGUUGUUGGUGAUUCUCCUCUUGGAAUAUUUAACUUCCCUUAGAAAUGCUGUCUCUAGCUGAGCCUGGUGGUGCACGCCUUUAAUCCCAGCACUCGGGAGGCAGAGGCAGGCGGAUUUCUGAGUUCGAGGCCAGCCUGGUCUACAAAGUGAGUUCCAGGAUAGCCAGGGCUACACAGAGAAACCCUGUCUCGAAAAACCAAAAUAAAAAAAGAAAAAGAAAAAGAACUGCUGUCUCUGACUCUGUAAAUAUAGGAACUAAACAUUUUGCUUUCUAGAAACCUCUUUUCUUGGUCUUUCUGGAUGUUGCUAUUUAAUGAUGGCUAACCAAAGUGCGUGCUUUCCUUUUUCACACUAUUCUUCUCUUUCUUUGUAGGUAUUUCUGACCUAGGUGAGUAAUUAUGUAUAUUCUAUGUUUAAUGGCAUUUUUUGGGGGGUGUUGAAAUAGUGAACUCUUUCUGGUGUGUGUGCAUGUGUGCAUGGGUGCGCGUGUGCUACCCAUCUAAACUAUAGCAAGUAGAACCUGAAUGUGUCAUAAUUCUCAAUUGUCAUCCAUAGAUAAUCAAGAAUAAUUGUGUUAAGUGUAAGGCUUUAAAUGUGAGGUAUGUGUCUGUUUAUAUACAAUAAGGUCUUUGUUUUACUUGUUAUUUCAAAGAGCUUCAAACAUUAAAAAGC
RNAcentral lists this long non-coding RNA (1105 nucleotides) under Mus musculus (house mouse). Its description in RNAcentral is "long non-coding RNA chr6:71865919-71867024". Lineage: Eukaryota; Metazoa; Chordata; Mammalia; Rodentia; Muridae. The record is from RNAcentral.